AGUCGCCUCCAAGUUAUAAUGGACAACGUCUCUCCUGCUGCCAGAGCCCAGAGAGGAAUAAACCAAGACCACCAGCUAAGACAUUAUGUAAUUGCCAUGGAUAUGAGUAUUGAAUGCCCUCAGGAAUUACCUACAAAGGAAACUGGAAACUCCAUGGCAUGUCUCUGUCAUCUUUUCCUCCAGAUGGUGCCUCCAAACCACUUCUGAAUGGGUUUGUGCAAAGCAGAACAUGACAUAACAACACCACAGAGUACAUAUCUGUCAGCCCUCUAUGAUCGCAAUGCUCAGGUAACGCAGGGACAAACAGAAAAAAAACCCAGAAAUAAUGACUUGAAAAACAUGGUUGAAGAUACCCAGAGAUGGCAACAAAAAAUUUUUACAGCUCCAACCAGUGAACAUACUAGUAAUUAAUACCAGAGACAGAAAUAUUAUCACUGAAGCCAUGGAGGAAGCCUUGGAAUCUAGAUCCCAACCAUUGAACUGCUGUGGUUUAAUUGUAUGAAACUGGGUUUCAAGAUUCAAGAUAUUGCUCAGAUCAUUCUGCAAUAAAUUCUUCAGAUUCAGCAAAGUCAGCAGGAAGGAGCCCAUGGCAGGAUGUCAUACUAACCUCAGCUCUGCAGAAAAUUGUGCCAUCCCAUGAAAAAAGGAUUGUUUUUCUGGAUUGCUCAGUUUUUUCCCAGCAGCCAGCCCUGUUGCACAGGUAGAAUCAGCAGUUGAUGCUACACAGAAAGACAAGCCAACAAGACCUUGCUCAGGUGAAACAAACCUGAAAGUAUCAGUAAGUACUUUAUUUGUACUGUUCAUUCGUAUAACUUUGCAGAAUACUGCAUGCAGCAGCUAGCAGAAAGAAUGUUCUAGAAGGCAACCUACUGUUAUCUCAGUGCCAAAAGGGCAAUUCUGCCAUUUCAAAAGGGCUGUGCUGUAAGUUCCACUCCUACCAGUACAUUUGCAUGAGAAAGCAAGAAAAUGUAUGCCUUGUUGUAAGGCCCUGUAAGGCUGCUCUUGCUAAUGAGUUUGGGGAAGCAGAAGGAGGCAUCUCAGAGGAACUUCACAUUUCUUGCACACAGUGCAGGUCAUCUUGCAGUUACAUUUGAGCUCCUAGGGUUGCAAACCAUCUCUAGUCUGGGAGACAGAGCUGCUGUUGCCAACAGAUUUUUUCAUUUUAAAAAUAAGUCCGGAGUGAGUGGUUUUCUGGACAAACUAUUGGCAGUUCUGUAACUUCGGACAUUAGGAAUGAUAGCAGAAAUCCCAUACGUCUGUUUCUAAAUUAGAAAUCAAAAUGGCCAUAUCCUCUGUUCAUGAUUUAAAAAGUGCUUUAGGAUUCAGAAAGAAACCAAUCUUACAGAGUGUUUCACAUAAUUUAGGAGCUUGUAAUGAACAGGAAUUUUUAAUCUGUCUGAAAUCUCCUUUCAAACUUAGCUCCUAGCUAUAACCUAACCUUCUGACUAACUGGGUAUAGUUAUACUGCCAGCAGCUAGAAAUUCAAUUGCACAGUGUUCUUCUGUCCUCACAAUAAACUUGAAAUCUCUCUAUUUUGGACCUCAGCCUGCAAUGUUCUGCAUGCCGCCUUCUGACCUCAGCUGUCACAGUGGCACCCUGUACCACAGAGGAAAGCAUCUUUGUUUUCCAUCAGCCUCCAUGCUAGUAUAUCAGGGAGAUGAAGAACAGAGAUUUUUAAACAUAUGCAUCACUGCAUGUGUUCUGUCUGUAUUUCUACUAUGCCAUGUGUACAUAUCACCACCUAGGAAAUGGGUACAGACAUUGUCUGGAACUAGGAGAAAUGGGAGGUUUAUGAAUUACAUCUUUUUCAAAAAGAGACCAUGCAAAAUGCUAUUCAGAUUGCUCACAGGGCAGCUAGAGAGAGCUGAGGUAUUUGGUACCCCAGUGUUAUAUGGCAGAAACCUUCCUAUCACAUCCUCAACAAAGCUCAUACUUAGAAAAUUAUCCAGUAAAAAUAAAUCUAAUCCAUUUAGGUUCUUUUACUAUGUCAGUCCUUCUUUUACCUGAUACCAUGGUGAACAGAGGCAAAUUCACACACUGAAAUGGGGAAAGAAUGCUAUGUUUAAUAGUGAAAAGUACUUCUUCACCAGUCGCAUAUUUUUUUCUCUACUUCUUUGGGGGUUUUUUUCCCCCUCCUUUGGUUGUUUGGGGUUUUUUUUCCCAUGAGCUCAGAAGUCAG
This is a long non-coding RNA of Athene cunicularia (burrowing owl), 2179 nucleotides long. RefSeq lists it as uncharacterized. NCBI's taxonomy places the organism in Eukaryota, Metazoa, Chordata, Aves, Strigiformes, Strigidae. The transcript is spliced from 6 exons. The record is from RefSeq and is a predicted model, not a curated record.